UACGUAGGUGGCAAGCGUUGUCCGGAUUUACUGGGCGUAAAGGGCGUGCAGGCGGUUUGUUAAGUGCAGGGUGAAAGCUCCCGGCCCAACUGGGAGAGGUCCUUGCAUACUGGCGAACUCGAGGGAGGCAGAGGAAAGUGGAAUUCCCGGUGUAGUGGUGAUAUGCGUAGAUAUCGGGAGGAACACCUGUGGCGAAGGCGGCUUUCUGGGCCUUACCUGACGCUGAGACGCGAAAGCGUGGGGAGCGAACCGG
This 253-nucleotide ribosomal RNA is filed under the name uncultured bacterium. RNAcentral describes it as "partial 16S ribosomal RNA". It matches the Rfam family "Bacterial small subunit ribosomal RNA", at positions 524 to 776 of the family's 1533-position model. The record is from RNAcentral.